GAAACUCUUCAUUAUUUUCUGUCCCCUCCUGUCUUAGGCUGACUGGUUGCUGGGAUGUUACCUGCUUCUAGCAAUCCAAGCUGCAGAACUUCUCAUUCAUCCCCAAGGCCUCCAGGCAGUAUCCAAUGGGGAAACAGCUCUAAAAGGAACCACACCAACCUUAUCCAGCCCCUUCAUUCUGUAGCUACCUCUGGAAAGGAUAGAAAACUGUUCAGGACAUCAUCAUACAGGCUCCUCAUCUACAAAGUUCCAGCAGCAGUGACGCCUACAUGGAAGACUUGGAACUGCAAACAGAGGCUGAGGUCACCUCAGUGACAUCUCCUGACGCUGUCCAACCAGAAGUUCGAUUUUUGUUCUGGGAUGGGGGUGGGGGGUGUGAAAAAGGAAACCAACUGUACUAAAGGACUAAAAUAAUUAGUCUAUAC
Molecule: long non-coding RNA, 425 nt
Organism: Otolemur garnettii (small-eared galago)
Lineage: Eukaryota; Metazoa; Chordata; Mammalia; Primates; Galagidae
Exons: 2
Source: RefSeq, a predicted model, not a curated record